CGGCGUGCUUAACACAUGCAAGUCGAACGCUGAAGCCUGGCUUUUGUUGGGUGGAUGAGUGGCGAACGGGUGAGUAACACGUGAGUAACCUGCCCCCUUCUUUGGGAUAACGCCCGGAAACGGGUGCUAAUACUGGAUAUUCACUGGUCUUCGCAUGGGGGUUGGUGGAAAGGGUUUUCUGGUGGGGGAUGGGCUCGCGGCCUAUCAGCUUGUUGGUGGGGUGAUGGCCUACCAAGGCUUUGACGGGUAGCCGGCCUGAGAGGGUGACCGGUCACAUUGGGACUGAGAUACGGCCCAGACUCCUACGGGAGGCAGCAGUGGGGAAUAUUGCACAAUGGGCGCAAGCCUGAUGCAGCGACGCCGCGUGAGGGAUGGAGGCCUUCGGGUUGUGAACCUCUUUCGCUCAUGGUCAAGCCGCAACAAUGGUUGUGGUGAGGGUAGUGGGUAAAGAAGCGCCGGCUAACUACGUGCCAGCAGCC
This 479-nucleotide ribosomal RNA is filed under the name Schaalia odontolytica. RNAcentral's name for it is "bacterial SSU rRNA". It matches the Rfam family "Bacterial small subunit ribosomal RNA", at positions 40 to 516 of the family's 1533-position model. The record is from RNAcentral. Lineage: Bacteria; Bacillati; Actinomycetota; Actinomycetes; Actinomycetales; Actinomycetaceae.